AUUGAACGCUGGCGGCAUGCCUUACACAUGCAAGUCGAACGGCAGCACGGGAGCUUGCUCCUGGUGGCGAGUGGCGAACGGGUGAGUAAUAUAUCGGAACGUACCCUAGAGUGGGGAGUAACGCAGCGAAAGUUGCGCUAAUACCGCAUACGAUCUACGGAUGAAAGUAGGGGGAGUCGCAAGACCUCAUGCUCAUGGAGCGGCCGAUAUCUGAUUAGCUAGUUGGUGGGGUAAAGGCCUACCAAGGCUUCGAUCAGUAGCUGGUCUGAGAGGACGACCAGCCACACUGGAACUGAGACACGGUCCAGACUCCUACGGGAGGCAGCAGUGGGGAAUUUUGGACAAUGGGCGAAAGACCUGAUCCAGCAAUGCCGCGUGAGUGAAGAAGGCC
Molecule: ribosomal RNA, 391 nt
Filed under: uncultured bacterium
Lineage: Bacteria
Description: bacterial SSU rRNA
Rfam family: Bacterial small subunit ribosomal RNA
Source: RNAcentral